CUGACCUGCCCAGUGAUUAAUUUAACGGCCGCGGUAUACUGACCGUGCAAAGGUAGCAUAAUCAUUAGUCUUUUAAUAGAGGGCUGGAAUGAAAGGUUUAACGAGGAAUUGACUGUCUCAUUUUAUUUGUUUUAAAAUUUAAUUUUUUAGUUAAAAAGCUAAAAUUUUAUUGGAAGACGAGAAGACCCUAUAGAUCUUUAUAGAAUUAUAGUUACUUAUCAUUAUAUAAUUACAAUUAAUUAUUUUUCUAUUUUGUUGGGGUGACAAAAAUAUAAAAUAAACUUUUUUAUUUAUUUGACAUUGAUUUAUGAAUAUAUGAUCCAUUAUUAGUGAUUAUUAGAUUAAGUUACCUUAGGGAUAACAGCGUAAUCCUCCUCCAGAGUUCAUAUUUACAGGAUGGGCUUGCGACCUCGAUGUUGGAUUAAGAUAAUAAUCAGGUGUAGCCGCUUGAUUUAUAGGUCUGUUCGACCUUUAA
Molecule: ribosomal RNA, 475 nt
Filed under: Trithemis morrisoni
Lineage: Eukaryota; Metazoa; Arthropoda; Insecta; Odonata; Libellulidae
Description: partial 16S ribosomal RNA
Rfam family: Bacterial large subunit ribosomal RNA
Source: RNAcentral